GUGGAUGUAGCUCAACGGUAGAGCACUUGCCUGGCAUGUGUGAGGCACUGAGUUCAAUCCUCAGCAGCAUA
Molecule: transfer RNA, 71 nt
Filed under: Marmota marmota marmota (Alpine marmot)
Lineage: Eukaryota; Metazoa; Chordata; Mammalia; Rodentia; Sciuridae
Also listed under: 1 other name
Rfam family: tRNA
About the family: Transfer RNA (tRNA) molecules are approximately 80 nucleotides in length. Their secondary structure includes four short double-helical elements and three loops (D, anti-codon, and T loops). Further hydrogen bonds mediate the characteristic L-shaped molecular structure. tRNAs have two regions of fundamental functional importance: the anti-codon, which is responsible for specific mRNA codon recognition, and the 3' end, to which the tRNAs corresponding amino acid is attached (by aminoacyl-tRNA synthetases). tRNAs cope with the degeneracy of the genetic code in two manners: having more than one tRNA (with a specific anti-codon) for a particular amino acid; and 'wobble' base-pairing, i.e. permitting non-standard base-pairing at the 3rd anti-codon position.
Source: Rfam by way of RNAcentral